GCCGGUGUAGCCCAAUUGGUAGAGGCGCCAGGUCGAGAAUCUGGAGGUUGCGAGUUCGACCCUCGCCACCGGCA
This 74-nucleotide transfer RNA is filed under the name Myxococcus stipitatus DSM 14675. RNAcentral's name for it is "tRNA-Leu (GAG) (tRNA-Leu-GAG-1-1)". It matches the Rfam family "tRNA". From Rfam's summary of the family: Transfer RNA (tRNA) molecules are approximately 80 nucleotides in length. Their secondary structure includes four short double-helical elements and three loops (D, anti-codon, and T loops). Lineage: Bacteria; Pseudomonadati; Myxococcota; Myxococcia; Myxococcales; Myxococcaceae. The record is from RNAcentral.